Molecule: long non-coding RNA, 1921 nt
Filed under: Nicotiana benthamiana
Lineage: Eukaryota; Viridiplantae; Streptophyta; Magnoliopsida; Solanales; Solanaceae
Description: long non-coding RNA (NBEN_LNC015005)
Source: RNAcentral
CCCACAAACUUACCCAGUGAAUCACUGGAAAACUAUUUUCUAUUAUACAUUAGCUAUACCUAUUACUUUUCAUCUCUUUUUCACCCCUUUACUGAUUUUACAAAACUUAGGGUUCGGCCCUUAGCCUUUAACAUCGAAACCCCCCAGCUCCUUUCUUCUUUCAUUUUUUCCAAAAUCACAUACAUCUGAAACAGCUAAGAGAAGAACCAAAAUCUCGAAAAGAAGAGGAAAUUGAGAUUCAGAAGCUAAAAAGUAAAGAAAAAGAGAUGUGAUAACAAAAGGAAAAAACAGAGAAAUAAAAGGUUAGUAGGCUGUUCGAGUUUCAGCUCUCUUGCUUCAAUUUUUCUGGUAUACCUCCAAGUAAGGUUCUUACUUUCCCGAUCCAAAUUUCUGAAAAUCGGAAAUGAAUAUAAAACACUUAAUUUUCAAACAAACUAUCAACAAUCUGUCAAAACUCAAUGGUACCUUAAGAAUUCUAUCUCAAUACCCAAAGAAUUUUCCUAGCAAAGAAAGUUGAGAGUUAGCCCAGAAAAAAAAUGAGGCAAUCACAGAGAGCUUGAGAUUUUUAUUCAAAAGAGUGGUUGCCUCUAUCUCUUUAGCCAAUGGUUUUCUUUUUCCACUUUUAAAAUAAAUCAACAGCCCUUGAAUUCCUAAAAAUACGGAGUACUAUACAACUAUUUCUUCAGCAUCAAUCAACAAUAGCCAUAUCUCUCUUUCUGUCUCUGUUUCUCUGAUUUUAGUUCCUUUUUUUGGUACAUAACAGUUGAGACAAUGAUGAUAUUUUAUCUGGAUUCUAGGCUAAUUAGACCGUACAACUUGUAUAUUGGCCUGGCAAAUCACCGGACAACCAGCGAUUCAAAGGUUUUUUCUUUGGAUGCAAUCGAUGAUUUUGUAGUCAUAGCGUGUUCGCCUCUCUUUUCCACGAUCUCUCUUUACAUAUCUGAGCCUCGCUACUUUUGGGCUAGCCAUUAAAAUUAUUUUUGGACUAUAAAAUGUAUGUUGUAGUUUUGGGCUACCGGUGAAAUAUGUUUGCGCCGAUAUGCUAUAAAUGAAGGUUGCUCUUUCAUAAUCACCUCUCAAUUUUUGAUCACCUAGAUUUUGGGCCUGAACAUUUAAUGAAAGGAAUUUUUACAUAUAUGUGCCAAAUACAAUAAUAUAUUACAUAAUAUAUUUAACCUUUGAUUUUAUUACAUAUAUGUUAUUUUAAUUACAUAUAUGUACCAUAAUUCAAAAUAAUGAUACUAUUAUGUGGGUCUUUAAAUUACACAUAUUCACUCAACCAUACUCCACUAAAAAUGCAAUUCCCCCCAAUUUAUCAGCCCUUUUUACUAUUCAUUUUGAUCACUUUUCAAAUUAAAGUAACAUUUUUCCCUAAUUUCCUCCUCCCACUACACGCACCCCAUACCCUCUCUCAUUCUCCAACUUCACUUCACUGUAAGCAUACCCUCCAUCCUCCACUAGCUACGUCCACAUUUCAUUUUUCUUUUGCUCACAAAUUCGUACAAAGUUGUGGCAAAUUUGUUGUUGUAAACAAUAAACAUCUAUAACUACCUCAAAACCCUCAAAAAAUUCCUAACAUACUCGUCAUUGCCUCUUUAAUUAUGAUACUAAAGUAAAAAAAAAAGGCAAAAGUAAAAGUGGGUCUUGCAAAAAUUGAAGAAAAAAAAUUGGGAGUGAAUAUUUGUACUGCUAAGCACCAAUUUCUGAAACGGAAAUAUUGAUUUCCUUAAGCUACAUUGCCUACAAUUGGAAUAAACAAAAGGGACGAAGAUCUUCAACAAAGUUCUAUAUUCAUCAGCAACAAAUUAAAGCUUCAUAUCUAUUCUUCAUCAUAAUAGCUCUAUUAUAGUUUAAUUAUUGUUAAUUAUUAUAGUUUUGAUAUAAAUUGUAUAUGGUAUGUAGAUAACUUGUGGAUAAUAUA